GAUGAACGCUGGCGGCGUGCCUAAUACAUGCAAGUCGAGCGAACAGAUAAGGAGCUUGCUCCUUUGACGUUAGCGGCGGACGGGUGAGUAACACGUGGGUAACCUACCUAUAAGACUGGGAUAACUUCGGGAAACCGGAGCUAAUACCGGAUAACAUUUGGAACCGCAUGGUUCUAAAGUGAAAGAUGGUUUUGCUAUCACUUAUAGAUGGACCCGCGCCGUAUUAGCUAGUUGGUAAGGUAACGGCUUACCAAGGCAACGAUACGUAGCCGACCUGAGAGGGUGAUCGGCCACACUGGAACUGAGACACGGUCCAGACUCCUACGGGAGGCAGCAGUAGGGAAUCUUCCGCAAUGGGCGAAAGCCUGACGGAACAACGCCGCGUGAGUGAUGAAGGGUUUCGGCUCGUAAAACUCUGUUAUUAGGGAAGAACAAACGUGUAAGUAACUGUGCACGUCUUGACGGUACCUAAUCAGAAAGCCACGGCUAACUACGUG
Molecule: ribosomal RNA, 497 nt
Filed under: uncultured bacterium
Lineage: Bacteria
Description: partial 16S ribosomal RNA
Rfam family: Bacterial small subunit ribosomal RNA
Source: RNAcentral